UGCUAACCUUUCCCUUGGUGUUCCGUUGCUGUUCCAGGCCGGCGCGGUGAACAAGCAGGGCGACAGCAUUCUGUGCCGCUGAGCCGCGCUGUGCAGGUGUGCGGCCGCUGAGCCCGAGCCAGGAGCACUAGAGAGGGAGGGGGAAAGAGCAGAAGUUAGAGAAAAAGCCACCCGAGGAAAGGAGGAAAAAAAAAAAAAAAAAAAAGAAAGAAAUCAGCAAAUCCUAGGAAAGUUACAUUCGUCAUUCCAAGAGGGAGGGGGGAAGAAAAAUAAAACUUUCAUCUUUUUUUUUUUUUGCACGUUCAUAAACAUUCUACAUAUGUAUUCUCUUUUGUCUCUUCAUUUAUAACCGCUGUGAAAUGUACAUUUCUGUGUUUUCGGAGGUGCAGUUAAACUUUUAAGCUUAAGUGUGACAGGACUGAUAAAUAGAAGAUCAAGAGUAAAUCAACUUUAGAAGCCUACUUUGUGACCAAGGAGCUUAAUUUUGUUUUGAAGCUUUACUAAUAUAACAGAGCAUUGUAGAUAUUUUUUUUUUGACAUCUAUUGUUUAAAAUAGAUGAUUAUAAUGGGGGGCAGGGAACUUUCUUUUCCCUGCAAGAAUGUUACAUAUUGUAUAGAUAACUGAGUGACAUUUCAUACCAUGUAUAUAUAGAGAGAUGUUCUAUAAGUGUGAGAAAGUAUAUGCUUUAAUAGACUACUGUAAUUAUAAGAUAUUUUUAAUUAAAUAUUUUUUGUAAAUAUUAUGUGUGUGGUUUUUUUUAAUCUAUGGGAUUAUUUCUUUUGGAAAAUUAUUUUUCAGCUCCAUUGCAGAGCUCUCAAUAUCUUGAAUGUCUUUUUCUGUUUGGCCUAGCAUUUGAUUUGUUUUUUGUUUUAUCUAGUGUCGUGUAGACUUGGAAGUAAUAGUUAGAGCUAGUGGUCCAGCAUGACUGCAUGAGAUGUUUAAUCACAAAAUAAACUUGUUCUGAGUCCAUUCAAAUGUGUUUUCUUUAACCUAGAUUUAAAUCUUUGUAUUUGAAACAUACCUGUUGGAAAUACACUUUAUCAGUUUUUAAGCACAGGGUUCGAUAGUGUAAUAUAUAAAGAGUAAGUGUCUGCUUUUUAACUGAAGACAAAAUGGAUUCUGAAUGGUUUUGCAUAUGGGACGGGGAAAAGCUUGGAUCCUUCAGGAGUUUAUGAAAUCUGUUUUAUCAAAGUGAAAAAAAUGCUUAUCAUUCUUCAUUUUACACGAAAGCUUAAUGCCACUGCGUUUCAUGUCUGUACAGAUUAUUUAAGUCAUAGAAAUGAAAAAUGUUCUCUGCUUGCUACCAAAGGACAAACUCUUGGAAAUGAACAUUUUCUGCUCUCCUUCCUCCAAAGAAUAUUAAUAGGCAACAGUGGGAGAAAAAACAAGGCAUAAUGGCAAAUCCUUCAAGCAGGGAUAAAAGUCGAUCUUCAAACAUUAACUUAAGUAGACCAAAAAAUUCUGAUGACCGCAUCUAGAUUAUUUUUUUAUGAAAAUGAUUUUCACUAUAGCUAUGUUAGUUACUGCUAAACUACUGUCCAAUCUCUUGUGAUGUGUAACUUUUACAUGUGAAUAUUAAAGUAGAUUUAUCUGUCUUGUACUGUGA
This is a long non-coding RNA of Suricata suricatta (meerkat), 1607 nucleotides long. RefSeq lists it as uncharacterized. The transcript has 2 exons. The record is from RefSeq and is a predicted model, not a curated record. NCBI's taxonomy places the organism in Eukaryota, Metazoa, Chordata, Mammalia, Carnivora, Herpestidae.